CUCAAUUAGAUAUUUAUGAUAUGAAUAUAUAGUAGAAAUAAGAUAAUUAGAACAAACAUAAAAAAUGAAUUACAAGUUCUCCUAAGUUCAGAAAUCUUAUGGUGCCUAGCUUGAGCAUGCGUAGCAAGCCUGCAUCCGCUUGCACAAUAACAAUAGAUUUAAUUUAUUUCAUGGCUUAAGAAACCUCAAAAACUCAGUAACAUAUUUACACAAAGGCUUAUAAAUCUCACAAUACAUUUUAAUUAUAUUCCUUCUUCCGUGUGUGUUAGUAAUCUAACACACUGCAUGACUGCAAACAAGUUCUAGAAUUGUAUUCUCAAAUCCUAAAAAAUGAGCCAUAUGGGUAGGGUGUCACAUUAAUCCUAUCAAAUUAGAUUAGAACAAAGUAUAUGCCUCGUAAAAGUAGAAGUAGCAUACGUGUACCAAAUGAAAAGUCAUAUUUUUUUUGUGAAUCUGCUUCACAUCUAAUGUGGUCCAACUUGUAGAAUGAAAAGAGAUUGAUGAGCCGAACAAACCUGCUCAUGUUUAUUUAAACUGACUCAUGAUUGUGCUAGCUCAUUAAGAGAAUAGAAAGAGACCUUGUGUGGUGUGAUCUCGUCGUCACAGCGGAAAUCACCUCGUGUACCUCUGCAGGGUAGAGAUCAUGAGGGGCCUAUCCAGCAGACACGGUCCUGCCGCCGAAGCUGCGCCCAUGUAAGGAAUGUGCAGCCGUGCAUGCAGCCUCCUUUCGCAUGAACUCCUCCUUGGUCCUGGCCACCAGGUAGGCAACAAAUGUCUUAAUUGACUAACUAAGUUCUUAAAAUAUGAUUCAAAUGCAUACAAACUGAAAUAAGAAGCAAGGUACAGUGGGUAGAUGAUAGAUUGCAAGAACAAAAAUCACAAUAGGAGUCUAUAAAAAAAUACAGAGAAUGGAUGGCUUGCAUGAUGACCAACUACCUAGUUGACAAUAAAUCAAACACGCCGAAGCUUUUUUUUUGUAUACACAGAUAUAUCCAACAACUUCAGUUUAUGGUCUAGAUCUUUUUUGCAGAACAUGUUUUACCAUUAAUUAUUCAAAUACACAUCCAUCAUGUGUCUUUCAUUACACACUCAACCAAACACGAGUACACUAUACAUCAAUUAACAAUCCAUGUUACCAAAUAAACUUCAGAAGGCUUCGUGUUAUACUGACUAGCAGCAACCAUGCUUGCAAAAAUCCGAGAAUACAAAGUAGAUUCUAUAUUUAGACCCAGAUCUAGC
RNAcentral lists this long non-coding RNA (1239 nucleotides) under Hordeum vulgare. RNAcentral's name for it is "long non-coding RNA (HVUL_LNC013894)". The record is from RNAcentral. Lineage: Eukaryota; Viridiplantae; Streptophyta; Magnoliopsida; Poales; Poaceae.